RNAcentral lists this ribosomal RNA (532 nucleotides) under uncultured bacterium. RNAcentral's name for it is "partial 16S ribosomal RNA". It matches the Rfam family "Bacterial small subunit ribosomal RNA", at positions 355 to 882 of the family's 1533-position model. The record is from RNAcentral.
UGGGGAAUUUUGGACAAUGGGCGAAAGCCUGAUCCAGCAAUGCCGCGUGUGUGAAGAAGGCCUUCGGGUUGUAAAGCACUUUUGUCCGGAAAGAAAUCCUUGGCUCUAAUACAGUCGGGGGAUGACGGUACCGGAAGAAUAAGCACCGGCUAACUACGUGCCAGCAGCCGCGGUAAUACGUAGGGUGCAAGCGUUAAUCGGAAUUACUGGGCGUAAAGCGUGCGCAGGCGGUUUGCUAAGACCGAUGUGAAAUCCCCGGGCUCAACCUGGGAACUGCAUUGGUGACCGGCAGGCUAGAGUAUGGCAGAGGGGGGUAGAAUUCCACGUGUAGCAGUGAAAUGCGUAGAGAUGUGGAGGAAUACCGAUGGCGAAGGCAGCCCCUGGGCCAAUACUGACGCUCAUGCACGAAAGCGUGGGGAGCAAACAGGAUUAGAUACCCUGGUAGUCCACGCCCUAAACGAUGUNAACUAGUUGUGGGGAUUCAUUUCCUUAGUAACGUAGCUAACGCGUGAAGUUGACCGCCUGGGGAGUA